ACCUUCGCAUCAUCUGAAAAUGUCCAGAUGAGUUGGAGGCAGCAAUGAACAACCAGGCAACCAACUCUCAUAAAGAUGAAUCAAACUAUGGUGAUCUGAUAAGCAGACUUGUGAGAUCCAUUUUUUCACCCAAAAGGAAAAUAGACACAAUAUGGCCCUUUGUAGCAACACAUCUCUUCAGUAAUCGAAAUGAUAAAUAAAUA
This 203-nucleotide long non-coding RNA is filed under the name Cercocebus atys (sooty mangabey). RNAcentral's name for it is "lncRNA (ENSCATG00000045685.1)". The record is from RNAcentral. Lineage: Eukaryota; Metazoa; Chordata; Mammalia; Primates; Cercopithecidae.